RNAcentral lists this ribosomal RNA (440 nucleotides) under uncultured Sphingobacteriia bacterium. RNAcentral describes it as "bacterial SSU rRNA". It matches the Rfam family "Bacterial small subunit ribosomal RNA", at positions 469 to 915 of the family's 1533-position model. Lineage: Bacteria; Pseudomonadati; Bacteroidota; Sphingobacteriia. The record is from RNAcentral.
CUGACGGUACCAAAAGAAUAAGCACCGGCUAAUUCCGUGCCAGCAGCCGCGGUAAUACGGAAGGUGCAAGCGUUAUCCGGAAUCACUGGGUUUAAAGGGUGCGUAGGCGGUUGCGUAAGUCAGAAGUGAAAGCUCACAGCUUAACUGUGGAAUUGCUUUUGAUACUGCGUGACUAGAAUUAGGUUGAGGUUGGCGGAAUGUGACAUGUAGCGGUGAAAUGCAUAGAUAUGUCAUAGAACACCAAUUGCGAAGGCAGCUGACUGGACCUAUAUUGACGCUGAGGCACGAAAGCGUGGGGAGCGAACAGGAUUAGAUACCCUGGUAGUCCACGCCCUAAACGAUGCUUACUCGAUGUGUGAAAUAUUGCGCAUCCAAGGGAAACCGUUAAGUAAGCCACCUGGGGAGUACGUUCGCAAGAAUGAAACUCAAAUGAAUUGACG